CGGGCCGUGUACUCCCAGAUCGCGUCCGGAUCGGUCAGCGACUCGUCCCCGAAGUGGGAACCGUCCGCCAGGACCUCCAGGACCGCGUCGUCCCCGUACGGACCGGUGCCGAUCUUCUCGACCCGGCCGUGGGCGAGCAGGAACACCUCACCGGACGGGUUGCCGAACGACGUCAGCACCUCCCCCGCCGCGUACUCCCGCUGCUCGCAGCGUCCGGCCAGUUCCCCCAGGACCUCCAGAUCCUCGUAGUCCCGCAGGACCGGCAGUUCCCUCAGCUCGGCGGGGAUGACGCGGACGUCGUCCCCGGUCUUGACGAACGUCACGCGCCCGUCCCCGACGGAAUAGGUCAGCCUCCGGUUCACCCGGUACGUACCGCCCUGCACAUUCACCCACGGCAGCAUCCGCAGCAGCCAGCGCGAGCUGAUCUCCUGCAUCUGCGGUGCCGACUUGGUGGUGGUGGCCAGAUUCCGCGCCGCCGCUGUGCCGAGACUCUGCUGCGGCUGCGC
RNAcentral lists this antisense RNA (506 nucleotides) under Streptomyces uncialis. Its description in RNAcentral is "Saccharopolyspora sRNA 350". It matches the Rfam family "Saccharopolyspora sRNA 350". Lineage: Bacteria; Bacillati; Actinomycetota; Actinomycetes; Kitasatosporales; Streptomycetaceae. The record is from Rfam by way of RNAcentral.